This 234-nucleotide ribosomal RNA is filed under the name uncultured bacterium. RNAcentral describes it as "partial 16S ribosomal RNA". It matches the Rfam family "Bacterial small subunit ribosomal RNA", at positions 338 to 570 of the family's 1533-position model. The record is from RNAcentral.
CCUACGGGGGCAGCAGUGAGGAAUAUUGGUCAAUGGGCGCGAGCCUGAACGAGGCAAGUCGCGUGAGGGAAGAAGGUCCUAUGGAUUGUAAACCUCUUUUGUCGGGGAGCAAAAGACGCCACGCGUGGCGUUCCGAGAGUACCCAAAGAAAAAGCAUCGGCUAACUCCGUGCCAGCAGCCGCGGUAAUACGGGGAAUGCGAGGGUUAUCAGGAUUUAUUGGGUUUAAAGGGUGC